RNAcentral lists this ribosomal RNA (335 nucleotides) under uncultured Anaerolineaceae bacterium. Its description in RNAcentral is "bacterial SSU rRNA". It matches the Rfam family "Bacterial small subunit ribosomal RNA", at positions 1034 to 1382 of the family's 1533-position model. Lineage: Bacteria; Bacillati; Chloroflexota; Anaerolineae; Anaerolineales; Anaerolineaceae. The record is from RNAcentral.
ACAGGUGCUGCAUGGCUGUCGUCAGCUCGUGUCGUGAGAUGUCGGUUAAGUCCGCUAACGAGCGCAACCCUCGCUGUGUGUUACAAGUGUCACACGGAACUGCCGGUCAUAAACCGGAGGAAGGUGGGGAUGACGUCAAGUCAGCAUGGCCUUUAUAUCCUGGGCUACACACACGCUACAAUGGGAAGGGACAAUAGGUUGCGAAGCCGCGAGGCGGAGCCAAUCCAGCAAAACUUCCCUCAGUUCAGAUUGCAGGCUGCAACUCGCCUGCAUGAAGUUGGAGUUGCUAGUAAACGCAGGUCAGCCAUACUGCGUUGAAUACGUUCCCGGGGCUU